Molecule: long non-coding RNA, 1904 nt
Filed under: Musa acuminata (dwarf banana)
Lineage: Eukaryota; Viridiplantae; Streptophyta; Magnoliopsida; Zingiberales; Musaceae
Description: long non-coding RNA (MACU_LNC000272)
Source: RNAcentral
AGUGUAAUUUGAACAUUUUAAUAAGUUCUAAAAUGUCAUAACAAAACAAUAUUUCCUAUGUCUCUUUUUUUAUUUUCAUUUUCUAUAAUUAUUUGAUUUUUUCUAUUUGCAAUGUGAUUUUUAAUUUUUGGUUUCCAAUUAUUUUCUAGACAAUUAUGAUCCUAUCAAUUAAUCAGUUGAUCCACCUUAUCCCAACCAUAUCAUUACUAACUGAUCCUGCUACAAGUGAAAAAAAAUAAAGUGAUUGAAAGGUAAAAUGACACAAUGCAACGAGCCAAAAACAAAAAACGCUCUUCAUCCAAAAAGCAAAAAACCAGACACAAGGUUUCCUUUCUCAUGAUAUCAUCCAUACAGAGUAGUAUAUACUAUUAUGAGAGCAGAACAUUUAAAAACUGACAGCCCAGUCUUAGGUAAAAUUAUCAAAUUUCAAGGUCCAAUACGAAAUUUAUAAAAAACGUAUAAACAGAUCAUGACCAUUAUGUGUCACAUAGGUUCAAGGCCUAAAACCAGUUUGCCAGCACAAGUGAUCUAGCCCAGAUUGCAUAAUCUAAUCACUUGAAGCGACCAUGAAAGGAAAGAAAAGUCACAAACAAGAGGAGUACACUCUUCUGUUCUUUCUAUCUGUUUUCAUUUUGGUCAUUUUGAAUUGUCAUGGUGCUUGAAUACUCUUUCCUGUCUUCUUCUUCAACCAGUAAACAAAAUUUCAACCAUCCAAUCCAAUUAGUGACCAAAAAGGUCCAUGAAAGGAAAGAAAAGUCACAAACAAGAGUAGUACACUCUCCUCUUCUUUGUCUGUUUUCGUUUUGGUCAUUUUGAAUUGUUGUGGUGCUUUAAUUCUCUUUCCUGUUUCCUUUUUUUUAAUUCUUCUUCUUCUUCUUCUUCUUCUUCUUCUCAACCGGUAAACAAAAUUUCAACCAUCCAAUCCAAUUAGCAACCAAAAAGGUCCAAUAUUUGAAAAGGGAAGUUCUUGGCUUUGCAAUAACAGCAAAACCAAGAAGGAAAAUAGAACUGCAUGUUUUUUGGCAAAAAAAAGAGAACAUAGGACUGGCACCCCAACAAGUGAGCAGUAACAAUGUAGUCAAGUAUUCAGUAAGAAGCAGGGUUAACAAUGAUUACAUAUGGAUUAAAUAAUAAAGCAUAUAUAUCUGUAUCCACUUCUAACCAAGAAAAAUGAAUUUGGAUAUAGAUAUCAAAUGGACACUAUAUUUUUUUAACCAAAUUUGUUUAACAAAGUUGGAGAUGCAAACAGGGUAUAUGACGGAUGAAUUCAAAUGAAAUUUUAGGCAGAUGCAGAUGUGAAUACUAUAUGAAUCUUGUUUAACAAGAAACAAAUAAUCAAUAACUUUUUUUUCUUAGGUUAAUACGAAUAUAUUCAACACUUUCAGGUACACUUAGAUAUUCAGAUCAUGGUUUAUAUACUGGUCCAAUAUGAACCAAUGAAUCGGGAUGGUACCACCUCACCAACUAUACCACCCAGUAUCAUUGAAUAAAAUAAUAAAAUUCUAUAUCAUAUCAAGCUAUACACUGUGACACUGAUACUUGGCCCAAACAACAAAUAAUGAUUGUACAUGUUGGUCCAACCAGUAUAUCAUUAAAACUUAACUCAUUUCUGUAUCCAUAUCCAGAGGACAUCAGACAGCCAGAUUCACAUAUCUAUAUAUACAUAUGACAACACACAAUCAUAUCCAGCACAAAUCUGAUACAGAAAUAGAUUUGGAUAGAUGAAACUGACAAGCUUUCACGCCUCAUAGGAAGACAUGUCCACCUAUACUGCUCUAAGAAGCAAAUUAAACAGCAGUCAUAACAGUAAGAAUCAGCAGGUAACCCCUUCUUUAAAGUGAUAAGAAUCAACUAGUAGGAACAAAGUGAGCUUCCCAUUUAUUCUCAAGGAAAAGGUUAAAGAA